Molecule: long non-coding RNA, 378 nt
Organism: Oncorhynchus gorbuscha (pink salmon)
Lineage: Eukaryota; Metazoa; Chordata; Actinopteri; Salmoniformes; Salmonidae
Exons: 3
Source: RefSeq, a predicted model, not a curated record
ACUCUGGAGACAGCAGGAGUAGGGCUGGGUGUGCAGGACCAGGACCUAGAGGGAAGGAGGACUGGCCCCAGAAGGAGACAGAGGGUGAGAGAGAGACGGAUGGUGUGACUGACCAGCAGCAGUGGCAGCAGCAGGGUAUACCAGUGUUUCCAGGGCAGGACUCAGAGGAGGGGUUGUACUACCACAGCAUCCUGCAGGCCGUACAGAAGUGGUUCAGUCAGUUUGGCUGGCCCCGUGGACCAAACCCCAUCUCUCUACCACGCUCUCUCAGAAGGGUGGUAUGUAGAGUCCAGACAGUAGACUCCAGCUCUAGUGAGUGGAGGAACUCGUACCUUAUGAGUCAAGGUAAAGACACACGGACCAUCUACGACAUGCUGC